This 720-nucleotide ribosomal RNA is filed under the name Neoctenotaenia ctenoides. RNAcentral's name for it is "bacterial SSU rRNA". It matches the Rfam family "Eukaryotic small subunit ribosomal RNA", at positions 41 to 692 of the family's 1831-position model. The record is from RNAcentral. Lineage: Eukaryota; Metazoa; Platyhelminthes; Cestoda; Cyclophyllidea; Anoplocephalidae.
AGAUUAAGCCAUGCAUGUCUCAGUGCAGGCCUUCAUACGGUGAAACCGCGAAUGGCUCAUUAAAUCAGCUAUGGUUUAUUGGAUCGUACCCGUUAUAAAUGGAUAACUGUAAUAACUCUAGAGCUAAUACAUGCCACGAUGCCCUGACUCUUGUGUACUAGCUUGCCUGGUUUGCUGGGGAAUGGGUGCACUUAUUAGAUCAGAAGCCAACUAGCACAUAUGUUUGCGCCCUUCUUGGACGCGGAUGUGUGGGCUGCAGUACUUCUGGUGACUCUGGAUAAUUGUUACAGAUCGCAGUCGGCCUUGAGUCGGCGACGGGUCCUUCAAAUGUCUGCCCUAUCAACUUUCGAUGGUAGGUGAUUUGCCUACCAUGGUGAUAACGGGUAACGGGGAAUCAGGGUUCGAUUCCGGAGAGGGAGCCUGAGAAACGGCUACCACUUCCAAGGGAGGCAGCAGGCGCGCAAAUUACCCACUCCCAGUACGGGGAGGUGGUGACGAAAAAUACCGAUGCGGGACUCAAUAUUGAGGCUCCGUAAUCGGAAUGAGUGGACUCUAAAUCCUUUCACGAGGAUCAAUUGGAGGGCAAGUCUGGUGCCAGCAGCCGCGGUAACUCCAGCUCCAAUAGCGUAUAUUAAAGUUGCUGCAGUUAAAAAGCUCGUAGUUGGAUCUCGGUAGCAUUGUUGCCUGCGCAGGUACUCAGCCGCUGUGUGUUGCAUCAUA